AAGCGUUGUUCGGAAUUACUGGGCGUAAAGGGCUCGUAGGCGGCCAACUAAGUCAGACGUGAAAUCCCUCGGCUUAACCGGGGAACUGCGUCUGAUACUGGAUGGCUUGAGUUCGGGAGAGGGAUGCGGAAUUCCAGGUGUAGCGGUGAGAUGCGUAGAUAUCUGGAGGAACACCGGUGGCGAAGGCGGCAUCCUGGACCGAGACUGACGCUGAGGAGCGAAAGCCAGGGGAGCAAACGGG
RNAcentral lists this ribosomal RNA (241 nucleotides) under uncultured bacterium. RNAcentral describes it as "partial 16S ribosomal RNA". It matches the Rfam family "Bacterial small subunit ribosomal RNA", at positions 536 to 776 of the family's 1533-position model. The record is from RNAcentral.